RNA transcript from Procambarus clarkii (red swamp crayfish), 4013 nucleotides. It is a transcript of the gene named opsin, ultraviolet-sensitive, with no coding region annotated. The record is from RefSeq and is a predicted model, not a curated record. Lineage: Eukaryota; Metazoa; Arthropoda; Malacostraca; Decapoda; Cambaridae.
GAAGUGAAGUGUUUACAAACGAGUACUCACCUAGUUGUGCUUGCGGGGGUUGAGCUCUGGCUCUUUGGUUCCGCCUCUCAACUGUCAAUCAACUGGCGUGUGGGUGUGUGAAGCAAGAGUCGUGUGUUUGUGUCAUCCAAACACCGGGGUGGAGGAGGCUUGCUUAGACAGAUUUGUCCUUCUACUUGCUGCAAGGUUGUUAUCCCGAGUUCAUCACUCAAGCAACGUCGUAAAUGAACGUAUCGAGUCCGGUCGGGGUCGCGGAGGAGCCACCGCCGCCGCCAUCAACAGCAGCAACAACAAUACACCCGCCGUCAGAAAUCCUGAAUGACUCCUCACUCUCAGACCACCUCCCUUCUGGCCCGUUGAUGGACUCGGUGAUACCGGAGGGUUUGGGUAACUGGUCGUGGGCACGGGAGAUGGGGGCGCCGCCCCAUUGGCUGGCCCACCACGCCACCACGCCCGUGUCCGCCGAGCUCCACCUCCUGGUCGCCGUCAUCCUCACUACCAUCGGCAUCCUUGGCACUGCUGGCAACGCUGUCGUUGUCUGGGUCUUCACCAGGUUCCGUCGACUACGGAGUCCGGCUAACACAUUUAUCGUGAACCUGGCGGCCAGCGACCUCCUGACCUCAGUCCUACACAGCAUGGCCGCCUACUCCUCCUUCAGGCACCAGUGGGCCUUCGGCAAGCUCGGGUGCAACAUCUAUGGCGGAGGGGUGGGCCUGCUGGGGCUGGUCUCCAUCGUCACCCUCUCCUGGAUAGCUGUGGAGCGCCUGAUCGUCCUCCGCACUACCUCCUCCUCCUCCAAGUGGCGCAUCACCCGCACCACCGCCAGGAAGCUGAUCCUGGUCGUCUGGGCCUACUGCAGUGUGCUCGCCCUACCGCCACUCUUCGGUUGGAGCGCCUAUGUUCCUGAAGGACUACUGACAUCGUGUUCGUGGGACUACAUCAGCAGGACUAGGAGCAACCGGGGCUACUACGUGUACCUGCUGGUGGGAGGGUUCCUGCUACCUAUCGUGGCUAUCGUCUGCUGCUACUCCUACAUCCUGGUCGCUCUCUUCCAGCACUCCCGCCUCCUCACCCACGCCUCCUCCAGGACACUGAUGCGUCGCAAUGACCUGCGGACGGCGCAGAUGGUGCUGACGCUCAUCGUGCUCUUCAUCGUCAGCUGGAGCCCGUAUGCCGUCAUCAGCAUCAUCGGUCAGUUCGGCGAGGUGCGGCUGCUGACGCCCUGGGUGGCGACCCUGCCCGCGCUCUUCGCCAAGGCCUCCGUCAUCUACAACCCCAUCGUCUACGGCAUGAGCCACCCACACUUCCGUUCCUCACUCCAGCACUUCUUUUCCAGCGUGGCCGCAUCGCAGCAACAGAUGCACAAUAAGCCUUCGAACGCUGCUCAGCGUGUUUCCGUCAACUCUAUUUUAGCACUGCCCGAUGAUUCGCCGCACCAACACUGGCACUCAGACGGCGCCCCAUCCCCUGGAUACUUCACGGGAGUCAGCACCAGGAAUAACUCCAUAGCGGCGAUAACCGACACUGGUGAAUCGUGCGACUGUUUGCUAGUGCCUGACAUCGGCAUGAUCGCCAGUGGUGACAGCGCUAAUAUGUCAGAACCUGAUCUUUUGCGUCACGACGAUAGGAUCAUCCCUGCCCACUUUAUCACCUAUCUCGCCUAUCACAGGGAGAAGCGAAGGUUCCUGCGCUCGGCGCUCUUCUGCUCGGAAUCGUCUCUAGAGCGGUACAACCGUCGGGGGCAGGUGCACCGUUGCCCACGACAGAUGUACCUGGGGGGAGGCGGGGGGCUCAUGCGCACUACCACUCCGAAUUGUGUGCUGAAGCAGACGGGGCCAUGCACGUGGGACCAUGUGGCCCUCCUGACCCCCUCCUUCCCCCUCCACAAUGACUCCAGCAACGUCUCCGUGCGCUCCACCUCCCCCGAUCCUCGCAGAGUCUCCAUUGCCACCACCUGCUCCAGGAGCCCCAGACUCUCCCUCUCAAAGCUCAACGUAAGCAAGACGCAGCGCCACAUUAACUGCUGCCAGUGCGCGGCGAGCGACUUGGCGCAGACUGUCACUGUCGCCACCAUAAACAACAAACGGCGACGCUCCUCAACCAUCCACGUCUGCCUCAGGGGCAACUUGCACCAGAUGAACGACGUCUAGGACCUUCUUCCAUUCCUCAAUCUGUCGCAAUAAGAUCCUUCGCCAGGGCCCUUAGCGACACAGGUCUUUGUAUAUCACAGAGCAUUGGGGGUGCAGCAACGGAUAUCUUUCACACAUCUCGGGACGGAGUAUGAUCUUGUGUACAAUGUGACUUGUAUCCCUGGCGUUACAGGGAUACAAGAUACUUUACAAUACAUGCAUCGUUUGAUCGUCUAGGACUCGGUUACAGAUGGUAUAAACUCAUGUCAAAGUUUGCUGACGUCAAAAUUAUGAAAAGGAUUCAGACAGAGGAGGACGUCAUGAAGCUACAAGACGACCUGGACUAACAGAAGGAAUUAUCCGACGAGUGGUUAUUAGAGUUUAACCCGAGUAAAUGUAAAGUAAUGAAGAUAGGUGUAGGAAGCAGGAGGUCAGAUACAACGUAGUUGGAAGUUGAAAUUCUUCAAGAAUCAGAGAGAAAGACCUGGGAGUUGAUAUCACAUCCCACAUCAAGUGGAUAUCAUCAGCGGCAUAUUUUGUUGGUUGGCCAGCAUUAGAACAGUCUUCAGAAACUUGUGUAAGGAAUCAUUUAGGACCUUAAUUACCACAUAUGUCACACCAAUCCUGGAGGAUCCAGCUCCAGUGUGGAGUCCGUAUCUGGCCAAGCAUAAGACCAAAUUGGAGGUUCAAAAGUAUGCCCCUAAACUAGUACCCGAGCUGAGGGGUAUGAGUUACGAGGAGAGACUACGGGAACUAAACCUCACGUUGCUGGAAGAAAGAAGAGUUGGGGAGACAAGAUCACCACAUACAAAAUCCUCAGAGGAAUUGAUAAAAUUCCUCUGAGAAUUUAGAGGAAAAAAAGUAGAUCAAAAAACAGUAGAUAAAGACAAUUUAUUUAGCACAAGGGGGACACAAGUGGAAACCGAGUACCCAGCUGGGCCACAGAGAAACUAGAACUAACUUUUUAAGUGUCAGAGUAAUUAACAAAUGGAAUGCAUUAGGCAGUGAUGUGGUGAAGGCAGACUCCAUACACAUUUUCAAAUGUAGAUAUAACAAGAGCCCAAGAGAUUCAGGAAUCUGUACACCAGUCGACUGCCGGUCGAGAGGCAGGACCAAAAGUCGAAGCUCAACCCCCGUGAGCACAAUUAGGCGAGUACAACUAGGUGAGUACAAAAGAGAACCCUAUUCAGACUCAUUGCCAGACAACAACCAUUUCUCAUGAAGCUGGGCCAAGAAGAACCAAUGAACGGGAUUUCUAUAAUACAAGCCACUAGUCAGCUGCUGGAGAGGAAAAGAGCAGUAGUAGUAGUAAGCAUUAAGGAACAAGAAGGCUCCAGUCAGGCAGAGUAGAGAGGGUUAAGCUACGAACAUAGGAUAAUGAUACUAAAUCUCACAAUCUUAGAGGAUAGAAGGAACUGAGGGGAUAUGAUCACAACUUAUAAGAUACUGAGGGAAAUAGAUAAGGUAGACAAGGAUAACCUCUUCAGACUGAGAGAAAGCAGGUCAAGAGGAUACAGAUGGAAGACGGAAGUGCAAAUGAGCCAAAGGGACGUAAAAAAAUACCCGUACCCUGUACGGGUACUUAACAUGUGGAAAGCUCUUAAAGAGGAAGUUGUGGAAGCCACCUCCAUCCACAACUUUAAGGUAAAGGUAAAGGUAAAGAAUCUGGAACUCAAGAGUAGUCAAGAUGAAACGCAACAGGUACAAGGCUAGUAGGUGGGACAUAAAAAGCUACACCUCACUCUCCCAUACACACUGAUAGGUACAAGCACAAACAAAUGGACAGAGUUUCACCAGACGCCUCUGUUCACCUAGCAGUAAAUAGGUACCUAGGAGUUGGAUGCCUGCUAUGGACUGAAUCCUGGGGAUGUGUGU